This 278-nucleotide ribosomal RNA is filed under the name uncultured bacterium. RNAcentral describes it as "partial 16S ribosomal RNA". It matches the Rfam family "Bacterial small subunit ribosomal RNA", at positions 506 to 784 of the family's 1533-position model. The record is from RNAcentral.
UGCCAGCCGCCGCGGUAAUACGUAGGGGGCAAGCGUUGUCCGGUUUAUUGGGCGUAAAGAGCGUGUAGGCGGCUUGGUAGGUCUGCUGUGAAACCUCGAGGCUCAACCUCGAGCUGUCGGCGGAAACCACUUGGCUAGAGUCCGGAAGAGGAGAGUGGAAUUCCUGGUGUAGCGGUGAAAUGCGCAGAUAUCAGGAAGAACACCUAUGGCGAAGGCAGCUCUCUGGGACGGUACUGACGCUGAGACGCGAAAGCGUGGGGAGCGAACAGGAUUAGAUA